CGAUUUCUCUCAAAUUCAAUCGACUGCUUCGACUUUGCUUCUCCGCUCGCUUCUCUGGUAAGGAUCUCCACUGCCGCUUUCUUUUUUUUUUUUCCAUUAAAGAUUCAUAUUGCAAAUCUUCUUCUUUAAUUUUUUCAAAGAACUCUUUAAUGUUUGUGGUUCUCUUAAUAUUCGUGAUUCUUUUACGAGAUAAAACAUAAAAUCAUGUCCUCUGAGUCAGAUCUGGAAUCCACCGUAACACUCAUUUAGGGAAAAGUCACCAAAAUCUAAGAUCCGUGUAAUCCUUUUUCGGUAACAAACGACCAAUAAAAAAUAUUAAAAAAGAAACCCAGAAAAUCCUCUGUGAAAAUAAAAAAACGAAAAGAGAUCAAAACCCUAGAUCUUGAAAUAAGACUGAUUACUUCUCCCUGGCUUUUCUGUAAUUAGGUUGUGUGGAGUUUUGCAUUUGAGAAUCUUGAAAUGAAUCUGUAAAAUGCAAUCUUUAUAAUGUUAUUAAGGUUUGAGCUCACCAUUACAACGUAAUGGCCUCAAACCCCAUGGAGGAGUCCUAAUCAUAAUGUAUCUUUGUUUUUUAACUGGGUACAAAUUGCAAUGGUGGUGGUUCUGCUAUUUGGGGUUUGAGGACUAAUUAUAAUGUAUAUAAUUUUCAUUUAGUUUGAGGACAAACUACAAUUGUAUAAUGGAUUGUAUUAUUACGGGUUCUCUGCGUUAUUAUGUUUGUUAUUUCAAUUAUUCGGGGCUUAUAGUUGAAAUUCCAAUGUAUAUUAUUUUUAUUGGAUGAGAAGCAUAUUGGGUUCUAUUAUUAUUAUAUAUAUUAUAUAUUUUUUCAAUUAAUUGUACUCAAAUUAUGGGUUUUGGAUCUUGUGGUUGUAUUCCAUAUUACAAUAUAUAUGUAAUAUUUGUAGGUGUCAAGUCUGUUUAUAGUUGAAAUUCCAAUGUAUAUUAUUUUUAUUGGAUGAGAAGCCUAUUGGGUUCUAUUAUUAUUAUAUAUAUUAUAUAUUUUUUCAAUUAGUUGUACUCAAAUUAUGGGUUUUGGAUCUUGUGGUUGUAUUCCAUAUUACAAUAUGUAUGUAAUAUUUGUAGGCGUCAAGUCUGUUUAUUUAUCUUAUAAUAUUGUUAUUAAGUUUUGUAAUAUUUUUUACAGGUUGUAUAUAAUAUUUAUAAGUUUUGAGCCUAUUGGAUUGUAUUUUUAUUAUUUUCGUCAUGAUAUUACCCACAUUAUUGUAUUUGGAUAAUGGAUUUCGGAUCAUUUGGUUGUAUUUCAUAUUAUAAUAUAUAUGUAAUAUUCAUAGGUAUCAAGCCUAUUGAAUUGUUUUAAUAUUGUUACGAAGUUUUGUUAUAUUUUUUAUAGGUUGUAUGUAAUAUUUAUAAGCUUUGAGCCUAUUGGAUUGUAUUUUUAUUAUUUUCGUCAUGAUAUUACCCACAUUAUUGUAUUUGAAUAAUGGAUUUCGGAUCAUUUGGUUGUAUUCCAUAUUACAAUAUAUAUGUAAUAUUCGUAGGUAUCAAGCCUAUUGAAUUGUUUUAAUAUUGUUACGAAGUUUUGUUAUAUUUUUUACGGGUUGUAUGUAAUAGUUAUAAAUUUCGAGCCUAUUUCGUUGUAAUAUUAUUAUUAUCACGAUGAUAUUACCCACAUUAUUGUAUUAGAAUAAUAGAUUUUGGAUCAUUUGGUUGUAUUCCAUAUUACAAUAUAUAUGUAAUAUUCAUAGGUAUCAAGCCUAUUGAAUUGUUUUAAUAUUGUUACGAAAUUUUGUUAUAUUUUUUACGGGUUGUAUGUAAUAGUUAUAAGUUUCGAGCCUAUUUCGUUUGUAAUAUUAUUAUUAUCACGAUGAUAUGACACACAAUAUUGUUUUUGAAUUAUGGGUUUCAAAUAUUUUAAUUUCAUUCAACAAUAUAAUGAAUGUAACGAAGCCCAUUGACUUGUAUUUUUUUUCUUAGAUAAUUAAACUAUAUUCUUAUUAUUAUGAAGUUUAUUAACUUUUAUGGGUUUUAUAAGUUGCUAAAUUCAGUUGUUAUUAUUAAUUUUUUUUUAAAGUUGUGGGCCGAGCACAAAUUAUAAUUUGAUUUUAACCAAGUUUAAGCGUAUGUUAUUUGUAAUAAUAUUUUUGCGAUGAAUUUCAUUAUUGUUAUUAUUUGUGAUGUAUUAUUGAGGGUUGAACCGAAUUGUAAUGCAUAUUAUAUUUUUUUGAUGUGUUUGUAAAAUUUAGUUGCAUCUAAAAUUGUAUUGACCGACAACAAAGUUUAAUCUUCAAAUUUUAACAAGCAAAUAAGAUUAAAUUAAAACAUUAUAAUAUUAAAAAUGUUAUACUAAGACAUUAUCAAUUUACUUCUUCAAUUUGAUGGUAAAUAAGACUUAAAUUGAAAUAAAAAAUAAACUGAAUUUUGUUGGUGAACAUAAUUUCUUAGUUUGUAAAUAAGAAUGUUAAUUAUUUGACAUACAAGUAUAUUUAUACAGUAUAUUGUGCUAUAUCCAGUAAUUAUAAUGUAUAAUAUUUGUGUAAAACAAUUAUCGUGUAUUGGUUUGCUAGAAAAUAGUAAUAUAAUGAAUUGUAUUCUCAAUUACAAUGAGUAUUUUUUUAGUGAGAUGAAAGUUGACGUAUUGUAAUAUUUUUAUCAGAAAGUUUCACCUACAAUUCGAUCAGAAAAAAUGAGUGCAACUACUUGCAGUUCAGUGAAAAAAAGAAAAAUUCCAAUGCAAAAACGUGAAACAAAAGAGCAGAGAGCUGUUACAUUCAGUAAAAGACGAACGGGUCUGUUUAACAAAGCAGCAGAAUUGUGUGUUCUCUGCAAUACUCAGGUUGUAAUUUUGGUUUCUGCUCCUUUGGCCAAAGAAAAGUUUUAUACUUUUGCACACCCUAACAUCAAUCUUCUUCUCGACACAUUCCUCAAUAACCAUGUCUCUCAUCCCAUCAACAAUUACAAUAAUCUUUCUACUUCUUCGUCUCAUCAAACUAUGGAGCAAUUAACUCCUAACAAUAAUGUGUCCAAGACCAAGAAGAGAAAGAGAGAGUCUGAAGAGUUUUGGUGGGAAAAUGAAGACUUUGAUGUUUACCAAACACCUGAAGAGGUGACAUCAAUCAUCGAGAAGUUAGAAAAGGUGAGAGAAAAUGUGGCGCUCAAACUUCAAAAAUUAUCAACUUCUAACAAUCGAGAUGUUAGUAGUAGUCAUCAUCAAAACUAUCAUCUUGAGUGCUUUGCUGAAAAUAUGAUGAACAUUAAUCAUGAGUACAACAAUGAGAGUGGUGAUCAAAGUCAGUUUAUGUCAUCAGUUGUGUUUCAAAAUUUAUCAACUUCUACUUAUCAUGGUAGUUGUAUUGAUCAAAAUAUAGUAGACAUUGAUGGAUACAAGAACUAUGUUGAUUUUAUGCAAAUGUUGCCUCUAAAAUCUACUAUGCUUACACACAAUACCAACAAUGGCAGCCAAGAUAUUGAGAAUUAUCACAAUGAUAUGGGUACUACAUUUGAAGCCCCAUUAUUCUUCUCUAAUGGCGUCGAAAAUUAUCAAGAUAUUAGUAGUGGUGAUCAUCAAAACUAUCAUCUUGGGUGCUUUGCUGAAAAUAUAAUGAAUAUUAAUCAUGAGUACAAUAAUGAAAGUGGCGAUCAGAGUCAGUUUAUGCCAUCUGUUGUGUUUCAAAAUUUAUCAACUUCUACUUAUCAAGAUGGUUGCAUUGAUCAAAAUAUGGUGAACGUUGAUGGAAACAAGAACAAUGUUGCUUUUAUGCAGAUGUUGCCUCUAAACUCUACUAUGUUUACACACAAUACCAACAAUGACACCCAAGAUAUUGAGAACUAUCACUAUGAUAUGGGUACUACAUUUGAACCCCCAUUAUUCUUCUCUAAUGGUGUCGAAAAUUAUCAAGAUAUUAGUAAUGAUCAUCAAAACUAUCAUCUUGGUUGCUUUGCUGAAAAUAUAAUGAAUAUUGAUCAUGAGUACAAUGAUGAGAGUGGUGAUCAAAGUCAGUUUAUGUCAUCUGUUGUGUUUCAAAAUUUAUCAACUUCUGCUUAUCAUGGUGGUUCCAUUGAUCAAAAUAUAGUGAACAUUGAUGGAAACAAGAACAAUGUUGAUUUUAUGCAAAUGUUGCCUCUAAAAUCUACUAUGCUUACACACAAUACCAACAAUGGCAGUCAAGAUAUUGAGAAUUAUCACAAUGAUAUGGGUACUACAUUUGAAGCCCCAUUAUUCUUCUCUAAUGGCAUCGAGAGAUGUGCUACGUCUUUUUGUAUUGGUGAUCAAAAUUUUAGUUGGAUGAAUGAUAAGAUCACUACUUCAUAUAGUCAAAAUGAACAAUUUUCACCGUCCAUCUCCUCCAAUGACUUGGAUCACCAUAUUAAUACUUCUUUUGAAUGGGAGUUCAGAGAUGAGAAUCCUUCAUUUCUUCAAGAUAAUGCUACUGGAUUAGUUCCACUAUUUUCUCAUAGUGAUAAAAGCAUAGACAAGCAGAAUUUGUCUGAAUCAAAUUUUAAAGAUAAUAAUUUUUCAGUUACUGGAGCAACAACUGACAAUGACUUGUUUCUUGGUGACGACUAUAUUAAUUCUUCAACAAUGGAGGAUAACACUGAAUUUUUUUCAUUGUUGGAAUAUUUCUUUUCUAGUUGAUUGUAAGCUUUCUCUGUAUUUCCUUUGCAGUGUAAUAAAAUGUUCUUGUGGUCUCUCAACUUUUUCUUUGGCAUAUUGAUCAUAAUAUAAUUCUUAUCAUCCACUAAAUGAUGAAGUAAAUAUGUACGGAAUCAAUAUUUAUAGUCAUCAACUAUGAGAUUAAAAAAAAAAUUCAUACAAAUAUUUUAUACUAAAACAAUCAACUGCAAACUUAAAAAUCUCCCAAAUUAACUUGAAUUAAGAGUUUAUUUUAUUUUACAUUUUAAAUUAAAUAGAUCUUAUUAUUUGGGUUCUUAAUUAGUUUUAAGUUUUUAAUUAAUUAUUUUUUAAAAAAUAUUUUUUUAAAAAAUUUAUUUAUUAUAAUAUAAUUUCAUAAUAUAAGGAUAUCGGCAUUUUAUUUUUUUAAAAAAAGAAUAUCAGCAUUUAUAAUCACUAUCAUUUUUUAUUUCUUUUUUCAGUUGAGGAAACAAAAAAUAAAUAUUAGAAUAUAUUCAAAAAUUAUUAUUAAAUAUGUCAAACUAUAAAAAUAUUUUAUAAAUUAAAGUUUGAGUGAAAACUAAACCAAGCAAACGUAAGUAAACACUUUACUAAAUAUAUGAAUUAAGCCAAUCGAACAAGCGAUUAAUAUAUUUAAGCUUACCGGUACAGAUUUUAUCCCAUAAUCAUUUUAGGGAUGAUUUAAAUUAAAAAUAUAUUUUUAUAAUAAUAUAUAUUUAAUUAAUAUAUUAUUUAAAUUAGAUCGAUUUAGUUAGAAAUUUAAUUAGACAGAAAAUUUAAUUAAAUUUUAAUACUAUUCAAGUUCGAUGAGAUUUUAGAUUUUAAAAUUAUAAGAUUAUAUCAAAAUCGAAGUUUGUAAAAUUCGCUCAAGACUCCAUCUAUUGUUACCCUAAACCGUGUUCAUACCAUAUUAGAAUUGAACUUUGUGAUUCAGCCGGUUGUUUGAACUUAUGAUGGUAUAGAAUCACACGGGUCCACCACCUUUAACUCAUUGAAGAAAAGCUAGACACAACCUUCAAAAAAUUUGAAAAAAGUUUGGAUGUAUCUUCUUUUAAAAGAAAUCAUUUUACCCUGUAAGUCUUUGUUUCUUUCUAAAAAUCUAUCUGGGUGUUACCAUGAAAAUGAUGAAGGCUGUGAAGAAGCUCAAAUUCUGGUCAAGAUCCAGGAAGAAAAGGAAGUACCUUGAGGAGCCCUUCUACCCUGUUCUGGCGCACCAUUGUUGUUGCCGUUCAUGCUCCUCCGUCCAGCCCUCAGCUCCACCAUGGCCUGGUGAAUUCUCAUAUCAGAUUCAAGCUGAUGAAACAGAAAGUGUAGAAGAAAGUAAAUUAAUCCAUUCAAAAUUACCUCAAGUAGACGAAGUUAUAAUCACGAGUAGGUCAAUGUAUCAGCAAUAUAUGGUUGAAAAUCCUGUGUAUGACAUGCCUGAGCCUGUUGUUGAGAUAGUUAGAAGAGAAAGAUCAGGCGGGUACGUUCUUCAGCUGGGUUCUUGUCUGAUCCGCUGCUUCUGCCCAUGUUUCAGUACAGAAGAAGCUCAGUAAAAAAGUGAUUUUGUUAAAUUGUUAGCUUACUUCUUCCUCUAUUUUCUUCUUUUUUUUUUCUUUAAAUUCAGCAAUAGUAAAAAUAUGUUUCUGGAUAUUUUUUUUUGUAAAAAUGCAUUGUCAGUCUUAACUCUGUUGUAUCUAAUAUUUUAACGUAAUAUAAACUUUUAAUAAAAAUUCAUACCUAACUUUGGUUGCAUUCAUACCAAGCGCGGGCAAGAAAGAGCCCCAGCCAACUCCGCUCUGGACGCUAUGAGCUUCUCUAUGCAAUUCUUUAUCUCUUUCUGACUAUUUGUUCUCUGUGUAUUGCUCCUGCAAAAAAGCCAAGCAAAUAAGAGAAUCAAUGAACAAAAAAGUAGUCCUCAAAGAUGCUCAGAUUUAAAAAUACGUAAAGCCGGUGAUUCCGAGUUAUAACGACCUUGCUUCCAGGGGAAAACCAUUCUAGCAUUCCAAUAAUUUUAUCUAAUUCUUCCGAGUCAUCCAAAUCAUCAGGAACAACAAGACUCCUAUAAAGCAUAUAAUUCUUUUGAUCUUACUAAUCCCCUCAUCAACAUUGUUCAACUUGUAUUUUUAAAUCUUGAUAAAUGACCUUGGUGUGAUGUUAUCUGGUGCACAAACAUGUAGUAACUGAUUAAUAGACAAAUUAUCCGCUUAGUGAAUCAACUUUGAUGUAGCCAAUCAAACUAUAUGCCGGAAAUUUUCUGAUUUUAGACUCUGCCAUCACUUUCCUCCAAUUAGCAGCAUCUCCCCACCUUUCCCCAACAGCACUUCUAUUUGACAACACCACAUAUCGGCCACAAUGUUUUGGCUGUAAUUCAAGGACCUUCUUUCCUACCAUUUUCCAACUGAACCUCCCCAUGAAUCUUACAAGCACCAAAAAGAGCCCCUAAAACAGAGGCAUCAGGCAUGAAGGGCAUGCUAAGUGCAAACCCAACUGCAUCUCUCAGAAUUCCUGCUCUGUCCAAUAGAUCAACAACACAACCAUAAUGCUCCAUUAUUGGUACAACCCAAUAUCGACUUGACAUUGACGGAAACAACUUCAAACCCAAGUCAACAAGUUUAGCUCGAGCACAAGCAGUAAGAAUAGCAACAAAGGUAACCUCAUUGGGGCAAAAUCCUUGCGCUUUCAUCUUCUCAAACAUAUAUAGAGCUUGCUUCCCCCUACCAUUGCAGUCCAAGUGAAAACCUCUUUAACCUCUAUCCGAUUUAAUACUCUUAUUGCAGUCUCCAAACAACCUGCCUUUCCAUACAAAUCUACCAACGCAGCCCCCACGACAGCGCUCAAACAUAUCCAUGUAUCUGCUUCCCUUGAUAAAGACCAGUUCCAUCUAAAUUAGCACAAGAAGACAGCACGGUAACAAAUGCAGCCUCAUUAGGCUUCACGGAACCGCGGACCACAUCCUCGUGAACCACCAUCUUUGCCAAAAGUGGCAAUGCAUCAACAAAGCGUCCAUUCAUCACGAACCCAUUAAUAACACUCGUCCAUGAAACCACGUCCUUCUCAUUAAACACCACAAUACAUGGAUGGGGAAUUUCCACAAACAUCUUACGUGCAUUGAGUAUGUCACACACUUCGGCAACUCCACCCUCACGCAUGAAGUUUGCACAUAUGGGUCGCAUAAAACACCCCAUUUGAGAGCCUGAGCAUGGAGAAUUGAGCCAUAUGAGGGAGAGCAAGAAGCAGCUUUGAUUAGAGAUGGGAAAGUGAGAUGGUUUGGUGAAAGUCCAUGCGCAAUCAUGCGGGUGAAAAGUAGUAAAGAAGUACGAGAGAGUCCCGUAGAGAGAUAAGAUCAAAUGAGAGUGUUGUAAAUGAGAACGGUGUUCCAUGAAGAAGUGUGGUUGAGGAGAGAGCCGCGGGUGAUAAGAAGGGAAUGAAUCUGUUUGAUCUGGUUGGGACAGUGGAUGAAAUGCUGGAGAAGAAGCUCUGGACUUGAAUAUCCAGAAAACCCACCUGUUACCAGAAGCUUUAAAAUCAAAACUUGAUUACAUGCCUGUUCUUGUCCACCAUCUGCCCAGUUCAUAUAUUAUUAGCAUUCUUGUUCAUAUUUGUUAAUUACAAGAUUUUUGGAUCAAAUUAACAUUUUCUCAUGCUUCUUUCAAUUCAUAUAUAUAUAUAUAUAAAUUUAAUUCCAACCAAAAAUGAAGAAAAUUCUUUUAGUUUACAACUAUUUUUCAAUCUUUAUAGGUUUUCUAACAAAAAACAAAUCCUACGUUUAGAAUUUUUAUUUAGUUUUUAACACUGUGUAUAUUCAUUAAAAUCGAGUCUAAAAGAAUUAUGAACUCAUCUUGAAAAAAAACUUUAACAUUAACAAGAUCGAGAACAAAAUUAAUAUUUUAAGUUAUAAAACUUACACAUUAAAAACUAGAAAACAACCAACCCUAACACCCAAAGAAAAGAAAGCGAUAAAAGUAUCCAUGAAGGUUCGGCUCAUUGACAAUCACAAAUUACCAUCUUCAAUUUUUGACAAUAAUCAUAAAUUACCCUUUUCGAAAAUUCUUAUAUUUCAUUUCGGUCCUUCUAUCUUCAUUUCUCCGCUAAUUUUCUAUAAUGAUUAAUUUGCAAUCGUUAUGCUUGCAACAUCAUUGUGAAAAUUGUCUACCACUGUGCAAUAUGCUUGCAGUCAAUUGCUUCAGACUUUUGGAGUAUUUGACUCGAUCAUCUUAUAUGCAUAAAUAAUAUAGUAAUACCCCACUCAUUUAGAGUGUUAUCUUGAGGUUGUAGGUUUUAGAGAGACUUUUUAAAAAGCAUGAGAUUGUCAAAUCUUACUAAUUGAACACUAGCUCAGAGUUCUACAACAAAGAAAAAAAAAAAUUGACAGCCAAACUAUUACCAUAACCUUCGUAAAAUACAUUUUUGUGUAAAACUUUGAGCUUCACAAGACUAGGGCAAAGAACAAGUUCAUCUAUUGUUAGUUCCGGGCUAUAAUAUAUGAAUGUUCAUGCAUAAGCCUAUGGGAAGUAAGUCAUGCAAGAGGUCAGAAGAAAGGGAACAUACAAUAUGGGAUUUUGUCGGUAGCAAGAUUCUAGUGAACAGAUUGGAGCUGCUAGCGGUAGCUGCUGUUUUACUCAUACGACUUUAUGUAUCUUGUUUAGGUGGAGUAUGGUAUUUAGUGAAAAAUAUUUCAUCAGGAAAGAAUGAGACUUGCCUUAUAAAGACUUUGGGUAUUGCAGUUUUACUGUUUUGUUUCGGCAAUGGAGUGCUUAGUGCUGGUUCAAGUUUUGGGUAAAGACUGAAAACUAGUCAGCUCCACCUUCCUUGCAUGAUAUUAAUCAAGGGCUAUAUGCUCUUCCAUCUCAAGUUGUUUUUCUUUUUUGUUCCUUUUAUUUUUUCUACGAAUGAGCUGGAUGAAAUAGUACGGUUGGCUUCUAUAUAUAAAUAAUAUAUACCUUUAAUCUCUUUUGAUUUUCGGUACAUGAAUAUAUGACUUGUGAACAGCUUCUCCUGAAGGAAAUUAUUGAAGCAGGUAGUCUCUUUUAUUUUAUCUUAUUUCAACUUAUUCUUCUAUUGAUCCGAAUACAUAUUUAAGUUAUUUUGUUUUUCUUUUCGAGAUUUUCUAUAGUUUUUUAUGUGAUUAUUCCUUACUGAGUAUCCUAUUAUGGUAUAGAUUGGAAUAUAAUAAGUAAUAAUUUUUCAUUACUGCUAUCAAUGAACAUUAAUUAGAUAAGUUGUAAGGGAAUAUAUAUACUAUUCUAUUUUUUCUAUUCUGAGUUUGAUUUAUUAAGGGGAGUUUAGGAAUCAGAAUCCUAAAUUCAUUAGAUCAAUGUGGAAGAGUCAUUAAGUUAACAUUUUGAGACAAUAAAAUAUUUUUAUUAAAUAUUAGUGCAAUUUAAUUUGUUGUUUUAAAUUUAAUUUAUUAGUAUUAUUUGUGAUAUUGUUUCAAAAUUAUUUUAAAAAAAAUCAUGUCUUCAUAUAAUAUUUAACCUUCACCUUGAAAAAAUUAAAAUAAUGAUAUAUUUAAUUAACUAAUUUGAUAAUAUACAUUCAAUUUAAUAUUUAUUCGUAUAGUCGUAUAAUUUAAUAAAUUAUUAAAUAUAAAGAUAAAGAUAUAAGAUAUUUAUUAUUAAGUAUACUUUUAUAAUAGCUUUAGUUUCAAAGUUUGAUUUAAUAGUUAAAUUUAAUUUUUAGGAAAAAUAAAUAAUAAUUUUUAAGUAUAUAUUUUAUGAUUUUUUUGGUAUUUUUAAUUUGUUUGUUAUACAUUAUUAUUUUGCUUGCAAAUUAUAGUUAUAAUUAUAAUAUAAUUAAAUUAAUUUAAUAGCCCAGUUUUUUCCAACCCAUAACCUACAAACGACAGCGUUUUGGAAGAGGUUAUUGGCGGGAAGGGGGAGGGUUUAAAGGGAAUUUAGAAAGGUUUAGGGGCAAAAUUGGAAAUACAGCUGUUCCCAACGGUCUUCUUCUCUCUAUAUAUAUUGCACCGACCACUCCAUUCUUCUCUACUCAGCUUUCAGACAGAUCACAUUCCUUCUUCCCUUUCCUCCCGAUUCUCUCUGUUCAUUGGAAGCGUUUCGUUUCCUUCCGAUUUCUCUCAAAUUCAAUCGACUGCUUCGACUUUGCUUCUCCGCUCGCUUCUCUGGUAAGGAUCUCCACUGCCGCUUUUUUUUUUUUUUUCCAUUAAAGAUUCAUAUUGCAAAUUUUCUUCUUUAAUUUUGUCAAAAAAACUCUUUAAUAUUUGUGGUUCUUUUAAUAUUCGUGAUUCUUUUACGAGAUAAUACAUAAAAUCAUAUUCUCUGAGUCAGAUCUGGAAACCACCGUAGCACUCAUUUAGGGAAAAGUCACCAAAAUCUAAGAUCCGUGUAAUCCUUUUUCGGUAACAAACGAGAUUUAGCGUUUUGCUUAUGACCAAUAAAAGAUACUGGAAAAGAAACCCAGAAAAUCCUCCAUGAAAAUAAAAAAACGAAAAGAGAUCAAAACCCUAGAUCUGGAAAUAACACUGAUUACUUCUCCCUGGCUUUUCUGUAAUUAGGUUGUGUGGAGUUUUGC
RNAcentral lists this long non-coding RNA (11107 nucleotides) under Carica papaya (papaya). RNAcentral's name for it is "long non-coding RNA (CPAP_LNC004983)". Lineage: Eukaryota; Viridiplantae; Streptophyta; Magnoliopsida; Brassicales; Caricaceae. The record is from RNAcentral.